This 6684-nucleotide long non-coding RNA is filed under the name Solanum melongena (eggplant). RNAcentral's name for it is "long non-coding RNA (SMEL_LNC000054)". Lineage: Eukaryota; Viridiplantae; Streptophyta; Magnoliopsida; Solanales; Solanaceae. The record is from RNAcentral.
UUUUCUGCUCUUUGCAGUUCAAACUUUGUAAGGUUCGAUCAGUGCAGUUUGGACAGAAGGGGAUCCCAUAUCUCAACACUUAUGAUGGAAGAACAAUCCGCUACCCCGAUCCCCUCAUCAAGGCCAAUGACACCAUUAAGCUGGACUUAGAUUCCAAUAAGAUUGUUGACUUCAUCAAAUUUGAUGUUGGAAAUGUGGUUAUGGUUACUGGUGGUAGAAACAGGGGACGUGUUGGAAUUCUUAAGAAUAGAGAGAAGCACAAGGGUAGCUUUGAGACAGUUCACAUUCAAGACUCCCUGGGGCAUGAGUUUGCUACCCGUUUGGGAAAUGUGUUCACUCUUGGCAAGGGUAGUAAGCCAUGGGUGUCUCUACCUAAGGGGAAAGGUAUCAAGUUAUCUAUCAUUGAAGAGGCUCGCAAGAGGAUGGCUGCCCAAUCAGCUACAACUGCUUAAAAAUCUUAGGUUGAACUUGAGAUGAGAUUAAUAGGUUGGGCCAUAUUUCUCUUUGUUUAGAGGGAUGCCGUUCUUAUUUUUGUGUGUUCCAUUUCAAUAUUUGUGUACUCGGUACUGUUUUACAUACAUUUUUUUGUCAGGAAAAAAGAAAGACUGAGUUGAGAUCAAUCAGUUGCCUUCUAUGUUAUAGUAUUUUAUUGCGACUGAGUUUAAGGACACCUUGUCCAUGAGUUUAUUAACUUAAUUCAAAAUGAGUUUUUGGUUGUAAUAUUUUUUAAACUGACCCGGAGUUGGAUUCCAAAUUUGGUAUUCUUCACUUAACCUGAUUCCUAAUUUUUUUUUGGUCAUUUAACUUCCGAUUAAGUUAGCUCUUUUGUCCUGCUAAUAGUAUAAUCAAACGCCACUGUCUAAUUUGUAAGAGUUAUUUGACUUGUUUCAUUAGAGUUAAAAUGAUAAGCUUAGUAAAAACUUAUUCAGCAGAACACUUAACUGACAGGGUACAAUCAAGUAUUAGUUAGUGACACUUGAACUCUCACGUCAAUUCCUUCACAAUAGUAAAUUAUUUCCUGCGUAAAGAAAUAAAAUGUUAUACUUUGAUUUCAAGCUUGAAAUAAGGAGAUACAUCUUAUUAUGUGUAUUUGCAACCAAAUUUAAACUUCCAUUUCAUAGCUUAUUUAUAUCGUCAUUUUAAAUAAAUAUAGAGGCUAUGUUUGUUGGGUCGCAUAAACAAAGUCAGCCCGUGUAAUUUGUUCGAUAAAUAAGGCCCAUAUUACAAGGCCCAACUUGCUUUAGGCCCAAAACAAAUUGGGCGCACGAGAUAUGUAGUAGAGUACAACAGAUUGUAUCUUCAUCUCAUUAGGGUUGAAGACACACGCCUCUCGCCGGUAGACGUCACUCUCGGCAGCUAAUCUGUCGGAAAACCGCCAAAAUGGUUAGUUUUCUCUCUCUCUGUUAAUUCAUCUCGUCAAUGUUGUUUAGAUUGUUAUUUGGUGCCUGAUAGAUCAGUUGUAUUUUAGUCUUAUUGGCUUUUUUUCCAGGUCUACACUGUAUGUAUCAGUUAUACCUUUGCUAAUUGUUUGCUAUAUGUGUAAUACAUCUGAUAUUAUAUUCUUGGUUGUUCCGUUCGAUUUAUGCUCUCAAUCGUAUCUGUUGAUCUCAAGUGGUGCUGGUUAAUAUCGUAUGUGUAAGUAAUCAAUUGCAUUUAGUUACUGUCGCCACUGGAUAUUAGUGUAUACAGUUUUUUAUAAUUGUAUUUUGCUUUCAUUGUGAUUGCUGUUGCACUCUGUGUUGUACUGUAUUCUAUUGGAUUGUUUUAAUGAAUACAACAUUUGGAUAGAUUUUAUGGUUCUACAGAUAGAGCUAAAAUAAGAUCAUUAAAUAAUUAGUAAAGACAUAGUGAGAAAAUAAAUAAAUCAGACAAAAUGGUCGCUACACAAAGUGAGACCGAUACCUAACUGUUAUUUUAAUGAUAGCUUAAGAUUUGCACAAUGAAAUUGUGUAGUAUAGUUCAAGUUAUUUACUCUAUGUAUUGAAAAAUUUGUUCUGUACCUUUGCGAAAGAACAUGCUUCUAAUGUUGUUUGACAUGGAUAGAUUUUAAAAGAACCUGUGGAACAGCUUCCCUUUAUAUUUUUGGUCAAUUGAUUUUUGUUCUAACUUCUAUCAGCUUUCAUUUAUAUUAAGUGGUAAAAUUUUUGCAUUUAGGCUUUGGAAACAUCAUACUAAUGUGAAUUUUGUAAUUUCUUGUCUAUAUAUAGGCAAGAGGGUUGAAGAAACAUUUAAAGAGGCUCAAUGCGCCUAAGCAUUGGAUGCUUGAUAAACUCGGAGGUGCUUUUGUAAGUGGCAUGUCUUUUCCUCAAGUCUUUUUUUUUUGAAUAUUAUUACUUAGUAUCCUGCUUCUUGACUUUACUGUUCUCUUUGGUCUCUACUGCAGGCUCCCAAGCCUUCUUCUGGUCCACAUAAAUCAAGGGAAUGUUUGCCAUUGGUUAUUAUCCUGAGGAACAGGUUGAAAUAUGCGUUGACGUACCGUGAGGUCAUUUCUAUCUUGAUGCAACGCCAAGUUAUGGUUGAUGGGAAAGUUAGAACAGAUAAGACUUACCCUGCUGGUUUCAUGGGUAAGCACACCUCCAUUAGAGUGUUUUUCAUUUCAAAACCUUUAUACUUAUGUUUUCCUUAUUUCUGUACUGCCUAUGUUUGUAGUCUUACUGAUUCAUUUAUAUACACACGCUUUGACAGUUCCAAAGACAAUUGUUGUUGAGAGUGUCUUCAAGCUUUUUUAAUCAAAAAUCAUUUUUUAGUGUCUUUUUUUCUUGUUGCUAUGUUUGUUGAAUUCCUUGACAAAUUGGUAAUGCUGUUAUUUUCUCUGUGUAGACGUUGUUACUAUUCCAAAGACGAAUGAGAGCUUCCGACUUCUUUAUGACACUAAGGGUCGGUUCCGUCUACACUCACUCAGAGAUGAGGAAGCCAAGGUUUGAACCUGUUUCCUGCUUCUUCUUUGUUCCGGUUUGCUUUGGAUGCUGUGCUGUUAAAGUAGUGACCUUGUUUUCUGCUCUCUGCAGUUCAAACUUUGCAAGGUUCGAUCAGUGCAGUUUGGACAGAAGGGUAUCCCAUAUCUCAACACGUAUGAUGGAAGAACAAUCCGCUACCCCGAUCCCCUCAUCAAGGCCAAUGACACCAUCAAGCUGGACUUAGAUUCCAAUAAGAUUGUUGACUUCAUCAAGUUUGAUGUUGGUAAUGUGGUUAUGGUGACUGGUGGUAGAAACAGGGGACGUGUUGGAAUUCUUAAGAACAGGGAGAAGCACAAGGGUAGCUUUGAGACAGUUCACAUUCAGGAUUCCCUGGGGCAUGAGUUUGCUACCCGUUUGGGAAAUGUGUUCACUCUUGGUAAAGGUAGUAAGCCAUGGGUCUCUCUACCUAAGGGUAAAGGUAUCAAGUUAUCUAUCAUUGAAGAGGCUCGCAAGAGGAUGGCUGCUCAAUCAGCUACAACUGCUUAAAAAUGAUAGGUUGAACUUGAGAUGAAUUUAAUAGGUUGCGCUAUUUUUCUCUUUGUUUAGAGGGUUGCCACCUCUUAUUUUUGGUGUUGCAUUUCAACAUCCUAUGUACUCGGUAUUGUUUUACAUACCUUUUUUUGUCAGGAAAAAACAAUGACUGAGUUUAGACCAAUCAGUUGCCUUUUUAUGUGAUGGUAUUUCAUUGUAAGAGUUUAAGGACCUUGUCGAUGAGUUUAUUCACUUGUUUCAAAAUGAGUUUUUGGUUGUAAUAUCUUCAAAUCCAACCUGCUGUUGUAUUCCAAAGUUGGUGUAGUUCACUAAACCUGAUUCGUAAUUUCAUUUUCAUAAACUUCAAAUGAUGUGGGUUCUUUUGUCCUACUAAUUGUACAAUCAAACAUAAUUGUCGAAUUAUAUGUAUUUUCGGAAUCUCUUUCCUGAUGAUUUCUGAUUUUGAUGUAAUUUUGUUUGAGUUAAUGUCAUUAGAGUUAAAAAUGAGAAGUUCAGUCAUUGAUUAUAUAGUAGAUGACUCGAAUGAGUGAGAACAAUGAAGGAUUAAUAACACUUUGAUAUUGGUUCACUUAGUCCAUCGUUUGUAUUAAAAUGUAAGAACUAAGAAUCAUAUCCUCACAAACAUUAUGAAAAGAAAGUUAUCGUGGGGACAAAUUAUUGUCCAGAUGCAAUUAGUCUUGUAGUGACAACACUUCAAGGCAUACAAUCAACUAAAACUAUUUAGUUCAUAAAUAAUGAUUUCAUUUCUGCUAAUGUAAGUGCCCAACAAGCCAUUUUAUGUACAUAUACUUGAAUACAGAGUUUAAAGAAAUUUCACCGAAGAUCGAUGAUAUGAUAUGUUUGACAUGUCUAUUCAUUUUCCAUUUUAUACAAAGAACUUCAAUAUCAAGUGGUGCUUUGCAAAUGGUUAGUACAACAAAAAUGCUGAGCAUGUAGUAAGGUAUAUUAGGCACAAAUCAUCACUUAGUUGACAUAAAAAUGCACAACCAGGUCCGACUUAGUAGAAAUAAACAUGGUAUUUAAUGAAAGAGCAAAUAGAACCUAAAACAGAAUACAAAAUUUGCACGGUAAAUUCUCACAUCAAUUCAAUCACAAUAGUAAAUUAUUACCUGCAUAACAAAAUAGAAUGUUAUUUUUGGUUUUCAAGCUAGAUAUAAGGAGAUACAUCUUAGUAAGUGUAUUUGCUAACAAAUUCAAACUUCCAUUUCAUAGCUUAAACAUCUUUCUUUCAGAUAAAUAUAGAGGCUAUGUUUGUUGGGUCGCAUAAUUGUUCGAUAAAUAAGGCCCAUAUUCUAAAGUGGUUAAAUGGCCCAAUAUGCUAUAGGCCCAAAACAAAUUGGGCGCAUGAGGUAUGUAAUAUAGUAUUUAAGAGAUUGUAUCUUCAUCUCGUUAGGGUUUGAAGAGACACACCUCUCGCCGGUUGCCGUCACUCGCCGCAGUUAAUCAGUCGGGAAACCGCCAAAAUGGUUAGUUUUCUCUAUCUGUUUAUUAAUCUCGUUAAUUUUUUUAGAUUGUUAUUUGUUGCCUGAUUGAUCAGUUGUAUUUGAGUCUCCAUGGCUUUUGUUCCAGGUCUAGACAGUACUGUAUCAGUUAUACCUUUGCUAAUUGCUUGCUAUAUGUGUAAUUCAUGUAAUAUUAUAUUCUUGGCUGUGCUUUUCGAUUUAUGCGCUGAAAUGUAUGUGUUGAUCUCAAGUGGUGCUGGUUAAUUUUAGGGCUUGUAUGUGUAAAUAAUCAAUUACAUUAGUUACUGUCGCCAUUAGAUAUUAGUGUAUACAGUUUUUUUAGUUGUAUUUUGCUGUCAUUGUGAUUGCUGUUGCACUCUGUGUUGUACUGUAUCCUUCUUAAAAAAUUAAUUUUGUUACAAGAUAAGAUUACUAAAUAAUUAGUAAAGACAUAGUGAGAAAAUAAAUAGAUCAGACCAAAUUGGUCGUUACACAAAGUAAGACAAAUCCCUUACUGCUGAUUUAAUGAUAGCUUGAGGUUUGGACAGUGGAAUUGUGUAGUAUAAGUUCAAGUUAUUUACUCGAUGCAUUGAAUAAUUGCUCUUUACCUUUGUGAAAAAACAAGCUUCUAUUGUUGUUUGACAUAGAUAGAUUAUAAUAAAAAGCUGUGGAAUAGCUCCCCUUUUUCUUUUUGGUAAAGUGACUUUUGUUCUUUCAGCUUUCAUUUAUAUAAGUGGUAAUAUUUUUGCAUUUAGGCUUUGGAAACAUCAUACUAAAGUGAAUUGUGUAACUUCUUGUCCAUAUAUAGGCAAGAGGGUUGAAGAAACAUUUGAAGAGGCUCAAUGCGCCUAAGCAUUGGAUGCUUGAUAAACUUGGAGGUGCUUUUGUAAGUGACAUGUCUUUCCCUAUAGUCUUUUUUUUGAUAGUACUACUUAGUUUCCUCCUUCUUGACUUUACUUUUCUCCUUGGUUUCUACUGCAGGCUCCCAAGCCUUCUUCUGGUCCACAUAAAUCAAGGGAAUGUUUGCCAUUGGUUAUUAUCCUGAGGAACAGGUUGAAAUAUGCGUUGACGUACCGUGAGGUCAUUUCUAUCUUGAUGCAACGCCAAGUUAUGGUUGAUGGGAAAGUUAGAACAGAUAAGACUUACCCUGCUGGUUUCAUGGGUAAGAACACCUCUAUUAGAGUGUCUUUCAUUUCAAAACCUUUAGAUUUAUGUUCUCCUUAUUUCUGUACUGUCUAGGUUUGCGGUCUUACUGAUUCAUCUAUAUACACAUGCUUUCACAGAUCCAAAGACCAUUGUUGAUGAGAGUGUAUUCAAGCUUUUUUAUCAAAAAUUAUUGUCUCAGUGUCCUUUUUUCUUAUUUUUUUCUUGUUGCUAUGUUUGUUGAAUUCCUUGACAAAUUGGUAAUGCUUUUAUUUUGUUUGUGUAGAUGUUGUUACUAUUCCAAAGACAAAUGAGAGCUUCCGACUUCUUUAUGACACUAAGGGUCGGUUCCGCCUCCACUCACUCAGAGACGAGGAAGCCAAGGUUUGAACCUGUAUCCUGCUUCUUCUUUGUUCCGGUUUGCUUUGGCUGUGCUGCUUAAGUAGUGACCUUGUUUUCUGCUCGCAGUUCAAACUUUGCAAGGUUCGAUCAGUCCAGUUUGGACAGAAGGGUAUCCCAUAUCUCAACACAUAUGAUGGAAGAACAAUCCGCUACCCUGAUCCCCUCAUCAAGGCCAAUGACACCAUCAAGCUGGACUUAGAUUCCAAUAAGAUUGUUGACUUCAUCAAGUUUGAUGUUGGUAAUGUGGU